This 2485-nucleotide unclassified non-coding RNA is filed under the name Hevea brasiliensis (rubber tree). Lineage: Eukaryota; Viridiplantae; Streptophyta; Magnoliopsida; Malpighiales; Euphorbiaceae. The record is from RNAcentral.
CAAUGCUGAUUGGGCUUCAUGUAAUUUCUCAAGAAAGUCUCUGACAGGCUUUUGUAUCUUUCUUGGUAAUUCUUUAGUAUCAUGGAAGACUAAAAAAUAGUCCACUAUCUCUAAAUCUUCUGCUGAAGCAAAGUAUGGAUCCAUGGCUUCAACAGUGUGUGAGUUGCUUUGGAUUUCCUAUAUUCUUAAGGAUUUACAGGUUCUUGUUCAUUUGCCUAUUCAUUUAAAGUGUGACAACAAGGCUACUUUUCACAUUGCAGCUAACCCUAUUUUUCAUUAGAGAACUAAGCACAUUGACAUUGAUUGUCACAUAGUGAGGGACCAAUUGCAAAAUGGUUUCAUUGCUCCUGCUAAUGUUUCUUCUAAUUUGCAACUUGCAGAUGUCUUUACGAAACCUUUAUCUACAAAUCAACACUAAUUCUUUGCUCCCAAGUUGAAUCUUGUGUCUUUGCCACCCAAUCCAACUUGAGGGGGGAUGUAGAAGACGCUAAAAUUUUUUGGUUGUAAAUUAUUUAGCUCAGUUUGUCGUACAGUUAGUUUGUUGGAAAUGUUUGUUAUAAGUUGCUGACUUGGACCACUAGUUAGCUAGCUGCUGCUGUAUACAAACUUUCUUCUUGUAUUCAUUCAUGUGUGGUGAAAUUGAGAAUCAUUUUUCAUUUUUCAUCUACAAUUUUAUCAUGGUAUCAGAGCAGGAAGAGAUCUAGGAUUUGAAGUGACGGUUACCAAGAAAUCACAAUCGAAGAAUUAGGGAAAAAUUAGGGAAAACUUUCUAAGGAUGGAAGAAAAUCGAGUCCGUGAAACUGCUACGAGAGAAGAUGCGAGAGGUCAGAUCAAUGGAGUUCAAACUACUGGAGAUCCUUUGUAUUUGCAAAACUCGAAUCAUCCAGGUAUGGUUCAAGUCUCUACUCCUCUGAAUGGAAGAAAUUUUUGCUCUUGGAAUAGAGCAAUGAGAAUAGCCCUAGGGGCGAAGCAGAAAUUAGGAUUUGUUAAUGGAUCAAUUUCAAUGCUGCAAGAAGGAACUGAAGGAUUUGAGCAGUGGAAACGUUGUGAUUAUAUGGUUACAUCAUGGAUUCUUAAUGCCAUAACAAAAGAUUUGGUUGAUGCAUUUAUCUAUACAACUUCAGCAAAAGAAUUAUGAUAGGAAAUCUUUGAGAGGUAUGAUGGGAGUAAUAGUGCCUUGAUCUAUCAAUUGCACAGGCAGAUAUCUUCUAUUUUACAGGAGAAUGCUACAGUUACUGCGUAUUUUACAAAACUUAAAAGGUUGUGGGAUGAGUUAGGAUCUGUUAAGUGUUGCCUUCGUGCACUUGUGGUGUAGCAAAAGAAAUAGCAUAUCUGAUUGACAGAAAUAGGUUGAUGCAAUUUCUGACGGAACUUAAUGAAAGCUUUGAUUCUGUUAGAAAUCAAGUAUUGUUAACGGAUCCCCUACCAUCCAUCAAUAAAGCGUAUUCCACAGUGUUGAAAUUUGAGACACAAAAGCAAGUAUUGAGUAAUUUUCUAAGAUGAAUGAAUCAGUCUCUUUAUUCAAAGUCACAAGGUCAGUCUCAAGGAUAUAAGAAGGAACAAAAUAAGUAUGACCCUAAAAAAGGCCAUUGUAGCUAUUGUGACAUGGAUGGGCACAUUAGAAAAAAUUGUUUCAAGCUGAUUGGAUGUCUUGACUGGUUUAAAACUAGAAAUAAAGGGCAACAGAAUAGUUUUAAGCAGUAUAAACAAAAUGCUGGACAAGGAAAUAAGGUGGCUGCCAUAGCAGAAGGCACUUUUGUUUCUGAUACUCCGAUUGAGAUAAAUGGAGAAAGUUCAAAAAUUGAAGAGUUGAGCAGUAUGCUUGGUUCUCUACAGUAGGAAAUUCAAAAACUGGUUAAAGGAAAGGGUUUGUCUUCAACCAAUACUCCGAAUGCUACAAGUGGACAGUAUUGCAGUUCCACUUAUUAGAAUGCAACGAAUUUUGCUGGUAAAAUUAACUCUGUUAGUGUCAGUUGUGUAAGAGAAUGUGAUGAUAGUGUUUGGGUCAUAGACACAGGAGCCACUGACCACAUGACCCUAGUUAAAAAACUUUUCACUUCCUUCCAUAACCUUCAAAUGCCUGUUACGGUUUCUCUACCAAAUGGUACUCUUAAUCAAGUCACCAAAGCUGGAACCAUUACUUUACAUUCAACCAUAGUUCUUAAAGACACAUUCUAUUUGCCAUAUUUCAAAUACAACCUUUUAUCAGUAAGUAAGUUGACAAAAUCCACAAACACCAAAUUAACCUUUUAUCCUUCUUGUUGUGUAAUACAGGACCUGCAGACCGAGGAAGUACUAGCUGUGGGAAGAGAAGCAGCAGGCCUUUACAAAUUAGACAAAUUGAGUUUUUCUCCUGGUAUCAUUCAAAAAUGUUUAACACAUCUUCAUAAUUCCUUGUCUUCUUUCUCCUAUGUAAAUACCAUUAUCUCUAAAGCUUGUUCUCUCAAAAUUGAUAUUAAUAAAGAGAGUGUUUUGUGUUCUAAAA